GUAGGUGAACCUGCGGAAGGAUCAUUACAACGUAUCCACGUAUCAACCAAAUGUGAACCUCCCAUCCGGAGCAAAACUUAGUGUGUCGCUAAUGGCCGAGCUGUAAAGUGACGCUUCCACAGAUGGAGAGUUUGGAUCUAAUCGUCCGACCUCUUGGAAGUGUCCGUUCGGUCGUCAGUUCGCUUGCGAACUGAGGCGUCCUUUUGCUUCAGAUGCGGUAUAAAUGUCCGUCCAUCUGCGGUCGCCAAUU
Molecule: unclassified non-coding RNA, 250 nt
Filed under: plant metagenome
Description: partial contains small subunit ribosomal RNA, internal transcribed spacer 1, and 5.8S ribosomal RNA
Source: RNAcentral